RNAcentral lists this ribosomal RNA (1166 nucleotides) under human gut metagenome. RNAcentral describes it as "bacterial LSU rRNA". It matches the Rfam family "Bacterial large subunit ribosomal RNA", at positions 809 to 1991 of the family's 2925-position model. The record is from RNAcentral.
GUGUGGAUAGGGGAGAAAUUCCAAUCGAACCCGGAGAUAGCUGGUUCUCCUCGAAAUAGCUUUAGGGCUAGCCUCAUGGAUCAUUGAUGGGGGUAGAGCACUGAAUGUGCGCGGGGGCCACAAAGCCUACCAAACGCUAUCAAACUACGAAUACCAUACAAUGCAGACCAUGGGAGUCAGUCCGCGAGAGAUAAGUUCCGCGGGCAAAAGGGGAACACCCCAGAUCAACCGCUAAGGUCCCCAAGUUCACGUUAAGUGGAGAAGGAUGUGGAAUUGCACAGACAACCAGGAUGUUGGCUCAGAAGCAGCCACACAUUUAAAGAGUGCGUAAUAGCUCACUGGUCGAGUGAUUGUGCGCCGAAGAUGUCCGGGGCUAAACGUGACACCGAAGCGAUGGGUGCAUCUGAAGAAGAUGCGCGGUAGAGGAGCAAUGUGCAGAGGCAGAAGCCGUAUCGAGAGGCACGGUGGACACUGCACAAGAGAGAAUGCCGGUAUGAGUAGCGAGAGGCAUGCGAGAAACAUGCCCGUCGAAAGCCCAAGGUUUCCUGGGGAAGGUUCAUCCGCCCAGGGUAAGUCGGGGCCUAAGCCGAGGACGGAAGUCGUAGGCGAUGGACAGCAGGUGUAGAUUCCUGCACUACCGAUGGAAUGAAGCAGUGACACAGAAGGAUAACUCGAGCAGGGUGAUGGUCAACCCUGUGCAAGCAUCAAGGUUGGGUUGUAGUGAAGUACGCAAUCCUAUAAGCUGAGGUGUGAUGCGGACCGAAAUUUCAGUAGGGAAGCGAGUGAGUUCACGCUGGCGAGAAAAGCUGCUAGUACAUCCAAAGGUACCCGUACCGGAAACCGACGCAGGUGGGCGAGGAGAGAAUCCUGAGACGAACGGGAGAACCCUUGUUAAGGAACUCGGCAAAAUGACCCCGUAACUUCGGGAUAAGGGGUGCCUGCGAGAGCAGGCCGCAGAGAAUAGUCACAAGCGACUGUUUAGCAAAAACACAGGUAUCUGCGAAAGCGAGAGCUGACGUAUAGGUGCUGACACCUGCCCGGUGCUGGAAGGUUAAGGGAACAUGUUAGAGCAAUCGAAGCAUCGAACCGAAGCCCCAGUAAACGGCGGCCGUAACUAUAACGGUCCUAAGGUAGCGAAAUUCCUUGUCGGGUAAGUUCCGACCCGC